CACAAACCCUAGUGAGGUGCAUGUGAGCACCAAGUCAGGGAGAGGGGGCAGGAGUGACUCUGAGGCCAACAGAGAGGGUGGGAAGGGGAUCUCCCUAGGUCCCCUGGUGAUCACCCCCCACCCAAACUGGUAUCUCCACAUUCUCAAUGACUAUGAAGACAUACCAGGCUCUGUCCUUUUGGCCCCCACCCCAUCCCUGGCCAGAGCUUCAAAGGCCAGUCCCAAAAGGUUCUACCCUCACUUGCUCAGGCUUCUAGCCUUCCUCUUCU
This 269-nucleotide long non-coding RNA is filed under the name Homo sapiens (human). Its description in RNAcentral is "lncAB115.1". Lineage: Eukaryota; Metazoa; Chordata; Mammalia; Primates; Hominidae. The record is from RNAcentral.